CAUGCCGGUUCCCUACCGAUACGGUAUGGUACGGAGUGUACUGACCGGUUCGGACCGCUAUGGACUACCAUGCUCUAGAGGCUGUUAGAGGCCCACUACACCCACCGGAGGGCCAAUAAAGAGUGGGGAGGGAAAAGGAAAGAGAGAAAAAGAGAGAGGAGGGAGGAAGGAGAGGAGAGAGGGAGAGAGAGCCGCCGAAGACCUGCCAAGGUUGUUGG
This 218-nucleotide long non-coding RNA is filed under the name Elaeis guineensis (African oil palm). RNAcentral's name for it is "long non-coding RNA (EGUI_LNC073846)". Lineage: Eukaryota; Viridiplantae; Streptophyta; Magnoliopsida; Arecales; Arecaceae. The record is from RNAcentral.